RNAcentral lists this ribosomal RNA (468 nucleotides) under uncultured bacterium. Its description in RNAcentral is "partial 16S ribosomal RNA". It matches the Rfam family "Bacterial small subunit ribosomal RNA", at positions 28 to 507 of the family's 1533-position model. The record is from RNAcentral.
GACGAACGCUGGCGGCGUGCUUAACACAUGCAAGUCGAACGGAAAGGCCCUGCUUUUGUGGGGUGCUCGAGUGGCGAACGGGUGAGUAACACGUGAGUAACCUGCCCUUGACUUUGGGAUAACUUCAGGAAACUGGGGCUAUUACCGGAUAGGAGCUCCUGCUGCAUGUUGGGGGUUGGAAAGUUUCGGCGGUUGGGGAUGGACUGGCGGCUUAUCAGCUUGUUAGUGAGGUAGUGGCUUACCAAGGCUUUGACGGGUAGCCGACCUGGGAAGGGGGACGGCCACCAUGGGCCUGCGAUACGGAGCAGACUGGUAUGGUCGGCAAAAGUGGAGAGUCUGACAGAACGGGGGGGCGUCUGUGGUAAAGACGCCGCGAGCGGAAAGCUCGGCUUCGGGUUGUGAACAAAUGUCGAAGGAGCCGAGCAGGGAGUGACGGUAAUGAGUAAAGAAGCAACGGCUAACUACGUG